Molecule: long non-coding RNA, 186 nt
Organism: Thalassophryne amazonica
Lineage: Eukaryota; Metazoa; Chordata; Actinopteri; Batrachoidiformes; Batrachoididae
Exons: 3
Source: RefSeq, a predicted model, not a curated record
CUAUUUACUGCCCCCUGCUGGAAAGGCGUGUGAGUCCAAAAUGUAAUUAGCAACUUUAGCUAAUAUUCAUAGCUGCUCCAAAACUGUUAGUCCUAUCAGCGUUCCGUUUUGGCGGUGUUCAUCCUCUACCCAAAAUACAUAAGCAUGCCAAACCGCAAAUGUCAGCUGUUCUCAGUUUCUCUGUGA